UUUUUUUUUCAGUUACUUGGGAAUUGGGAAUGUAAUUGGAUCAAGUGCAAUAGUUGUUGAUUAUGACUUAAAGUAGAGGAUUUGCUCUGGCAUUUUUAAGGAAGAAAUGCUCAUCUUAGUUUUUCGGGCAUUAUGGUUGACUUGAAAUUUGAUAAUGAAUUUGGGUAAUUGCUGUGUAACAUAGAAUUCUGGGAGAUGUGAAGAAUAAAAGUUUGGAGAGCGAAAUUUCAAUUAACUUAGAUAAGAUAUUUGUCAACAGAAGGUGGUGAAUGCUAAUUAAAUCUAUUCCUUACAUGGAGGAUAGAGGUCAAGACGUAUGGACCUUAAGGUUUUCAUUUUCAAGUGCUUAGAUGCCAAUUUUACUUUAUAAGAGUAAUUUUACAAUAAGGGAAUCCCAUACUUUAAUAAAGUAAGGGACAAGCUAAAAGACCAAAAAACAUAGAUUUCAAUACACUGCAGUGGAGUGUGUGUUUUUCUGUCUUUUAGCUUGUUCCUUACUUUAAAGUAAGGGAUUUCCUUAUUGUAAAAUUACGCUCUCUCUCUCUCUCUCUCUCUCUCUCUCUCUCUCUCUC
This 572-nucleotide long non-coding RNA is filed under the name Citrus sinensis (sweet orange). RNAcentral describes it as "long non-coding RNA (CSIN_LNC005791)". The record is from RNAcentral. Lineage: Eukaryota; Viridiplantae; Streptophyta; Magnoliopsida; Sapindales; Rutaceae.